This is an RNA transcript of Malus domestica (apple), 1138 nucleotides long. It is a transcript of the gene named tropinone reductase homolog At1g07440-like, with no coding region annotated. NCBI's taxonomy places the organism in Eukaryota, Viridiplantae, Streptophyta, Magnoliopsida, Rosales, Rosaceae. The record is from RefSeq and is a predicted model, not a curated record.
AAAUAUCAAAACUAGUACGAAAUAGCAGCACCGCUAGUAUUUUGCAGAGAGAUUAGGGAGCAGAGAUAUAGAGAAAGAGAUGAACAGCAGAGACAAAAGAUGGUCUCUUAACGGAAUGACGGCUCUUGUCACUGGUGGAACCAAAGGAAUUGGGUAUGCAAUAGUGGAAGAAUUGGCAGGGCUAGGUGCAAUUGUGCAUACUUGUUCGCGAAAUGAAGUUGACCUUAAUGACUGCCUGAGUCAGUGGGAGAAGAAGGGUUUUCAAGUCACUGGCUCAGUCUGCGAUGUGGUGUCAAAGACCCAAAGAGAGGAGCUUAUAAACAAGGUCUCAUCACUCUUUGAUGGCAAACUUAACAUCCUUAUAAACAAUGUGGGGGCUAACAGACCAAAAGCAACACUAGAGUACACCGCUGAAGAUUACUCAUUCAUGAUGAGCAUCAAUCUUGAAUCCGCUUACCAUUUGUGCCAACUUUCACAUCCUCUUCUCAAAGCUUCUGGAUCUGCUAACAUCGUUUUUUUAUCCUCUGUUGCUGGUGUGGUCUCACUAGAGGUUGGAUCUAUAUAUUCUGCAACUAAAGGCAGUUGAAGAAUUGAGCUUAAAUUGUGUGGCUUUUCUGUAUUGUAUCUCUCAGGUGCAAUAAAUCAAUUAGCAAAAAACUUGGCAUGUGAGUGGGCAAAAGAUAAAAUAAGGACCAACAGUGUUGCACCUUGGUUUAUCACCACUCCCCUUGGUGAAAUGUUUCUCGGAAAUAAAAAGAAAUCGGCGGUGAUAAAUUCUCGGUGCCCUUUAGGACGUCCAGGAGAGCCAGAAGAAGUGUCUUCCUUGGUAGCAUUUCUAUGCCUACCUGCAGCCUCUUACAUUACUGGGCAAACUAUUACCGUCGACGGCGGGGUGACUGUCAAUGGCUUGCUCUUCCAAGAAACAUGACAUGCAAAUAGUUCGAUAUGUAGUAGUAGACAGUGCUUGAGGUCAGGAAAAACAAAAUCUCUUAUCUAAUUCCAAAGUGGUGAGCUUUAGUUCUCCGAAAAAAGAAAAAACAAAGUGGUGAGCUUUAGUUUUAUGUGAAAUUAAGUGACAUUAAUGUUCUAAUUAAAUAAGUGAAUGAAAGACCGCCGACCAUUUGGUCUAUUGAUUUAA